CCUACGGGCGGCAGCAGUGAGGAAUAUUGGUCAAUGGACGAGAGGCUGAACCCGCCAAGUAGCGUGAAGGAUGACUGCCCUAUGGGUUGUAAACUUCUUUUAUAUGGGCAUAAAAUGUUCCACGUGUGGGAUUUUGUCUUUACCAUAUGAAUAAGGAUCGGCUAACUCCGUGCCAGCAGCCGCGGUAAUACGGAGGAUCCGAGCGUUCUCUGGAUUUAUUGGGUUUAAAGGGAGCGUAGGUGGAUUGUUAAGUCAGUUGUGAAAGUUUGCGGAUCACACGUAAAAUUGCAGUUGAUACUGGCAGUCUGGAGUACAGUAGAGGUAGGCGGAAUUCGUGGUGUAGCGGUGAAAUGCUUAGAUAUCACGAAGAACUCCGAUUGCGAAGGCAGUUCACUGGACUGCAACUGACACUGAGGCUCGAAAGUGUGGGUAUCAAACAGGAUUAGAUACCCUUGUAGUC
RNAcentral lists this ribosomal RNA (460 nucleotides) under uncultured bacterium. Its description in RNAcentral is "partial 16S ribosomal RNA". It matches the Rfam family "Bacterial small subunit ribosomal RNA", at positions 338 to 795 of the family's 1533-position model. The record is from RNAcentral.